RNAcentral lists this ribosomal RNA (552 nucleotides) under Oligometra serripinna. Its description in RNAcentral is "partial large subunit ribosomal RNA". It matches the Rfam family "Bacterial large subunit ribosomal RNA", at positions 1815 to 2604 of the family's 2925-position model. The record is from RNAcentral. Lineage: Eukaryota; Metazoa; Echinodermata; Crinoidea; Comatulida; Colobometridae.
AUCGCUCUUUGAAAAAUAAUAAUAAAGAGUACUGCCUGCCCAGUGACAAAAGUUAAACGGCCGCGGUAUUUUGACCGUGCAAAGGUAGCAUAAUCAUUUGUUCUUUAAUUGAGGACUAGAAUGAAAGGCAACACGAAAACUUAACUGUCUCCUUCUUAAAAAAAGAAAUUAGUAUUUUUGUGAAGAAACAAAAAUAAAAAUGUAAGACGAGAAGACCCUGUCGAGCUUAAGAAAAUUUUUAUAAGAAAAUAAAUAAGUUAAAAUAAAUAUAUUACUAAAAACUAAAAAUAAAAAUAUCUUUGGUUGGGGCAACCACGAAGAAAAAGAAACCUUCGUUCUAAAAAAGAAAUUAACAAAUUAAAAACUUUAUAAAAGAAAAGGAUCCAGAAUAUACUGAUCAAAGAAAAAAGUUACCGCAGGGAUAACAGCGUUAUUCUCUUUAAGAGCUCGUAUUGACAAGAGAGUUUGCGACCUCGAUGUUGGACCGGGGCACCCAAGAGGUGUAGCAGCCUCUAAAGGUAGGUCUGUUCGACCUUUAAAGCCCUACGUGAU